UACGUAGGGGCAAGCGUUGUCCGGAAUCAUUGGGCGUUAAAGGAGCGUGUAGGUCGGGCCGGAAGGUCUGGUGAUUGAAAGCCCGGGGCUCAACCCCGGAGGGUCACUGGAAACCAACGGCCUUGAGUCCGGAAGAGGAGAGUGGAAUUCCAUGGUGUAGGCGGUAGAAAUGCGUAGAUAUCUGAAAGGAACAUCAUGUGGCGAAAGCGACCUCCUGGACCAAUACUGACGCUCAGGUGCGAAAAGCGUGGG
Molecule: ribosomal RNA, 252 nt
Filed under: uncultured bacterium
Lineage: Bacteria
Description: partial 16S ribosomal RNA
Rfam family: Bacterial small subunit ribosomal RNA
Source: RNAcentral